GACGAACGCUUGCGACGUGCCUAAGAAAUGCAAGUCGAACGAGGCAGCAAUGCCGAGUGGCGAACGGUCGCGUAACACGUGGGCAACCUGCCCUGAAGCGGGGGACGAACAAGUCGAAAGAUUUGCUAAUACCGCAUGUGUCUCGCUGUGGCAUCACAGAGGAGACAAAGCCGCAAGGCACUUCAGGAUGGGCCCGCGGCCUAUCAGCUUGUUGGUGAGGUAACGGCCCACCAAGGCUUCGACGGGUAGCUGGUCUGAGAGGACGAUCAGCCGGAUUGGGACUGAGAUACGGCCCAGA
RNAcentral lists this ribosomal RNA (298 nucleotides) under uncultured bacterium. Its description in RNAcentral is "partial 16S ribosomal RNA". It matches the Rfam family "Bacterial small subunit ribosomal RNA", at positions 28 to 335 of the family's 1533-position model. The record is from RNAcentral.